CCCUCAUCACGAGGGACUGAGGGAACGGCCCGACGAAGUCCCGGCAACCGCCACGAACCUCCUUCUCGCUCUGCGGGAAGUCGCGGAAACGGUGCCAAUUCCGUCCCGGAGCGAAAGUCGCGCCGGGGUAGAUGAGAA
This 138-nucleotide non-coding RNA is filed under the name Nocardioides sp. RNAcentral describes it as "SAM-I sequence". It matches the Rfam family "SAM riboswitch aptamer (S box leader)". Rfam says of the family: The SAM riboswitch is found upstream of a number of genes which code for proteins involved in methionine or cysteine biosynthesis in Gram-positive bacteria. The SAM riboswitch acts at the level of transcription termination control. The record is from RNAcentral. RNAcentral also lists the same sequence under 1 other name. Lineage: Bacteria; Bacillati; Actinomycetota; Actinomycetes; Propionibacteriales; Nocardioidaceae.